GACGAACGCUGGCGGCGUGCCUAAUACAUGCAAGUAGAACGCUGAAGGAGGAGCUUGCUUCUCUGGAUGAGUUGCGAACGGGUGAGUAACGCGUAGGUAACCUGCCUGGUAGCGGGGGAUAACUAUUGGAAACGAUAGCUAAUACCGCAUAAUAGUAGAUGUUGCAUGACAUUUGCUUAAAAGGUGCAAUUGCAUCACUACCAGAUGGACCUGCGUUGUAUUAGCUAGUUGGUGGGGUAACGGCUCACCAAGGCGACGAUACAUAGCCGACCUGAGAGGGGGAUCGGCCACACUGGGACUGAGACACGGCCCAGACUCCUACGGGAGGCAGCAGUAGGGAAUCUUCGGCAAGGGACGGAAGUCUGACCGAGCAACGCCGCGUGAGUGAAGAAGGUUUUCGGAUCGUAAAGCUCUGUUGUAAGAGAAGAACGAGUGUGAGAGUGGAAAGUUCACACUGUGACGGUAGCUUACCAGAAAGGGACGGCUAACUACGUG
This 495-nucleotide ribosomal RNA is filed under the name uncultured bacterium. RNAcentral's name for it is "partial 16S ribosomal RNA". It matches the Rfam family "Bacterial small subunit ribosomal RNA", at positions 28 to 507 of the family's 1533-position model. The record is from RNAcentral.